GGAAGAUGCGGCUAGUGGUUAGCAACUGGUUUGGAAUACCAGCGUGGGUCUUAGGGCCUAGGGGUUCGAUUCCUCCAUUUUCCG
Molecule: transfer RNA, 84 nt
Filed under: Alkalinema sp. RU_4_3
Lineage: Bacteria; Bacillati; Cyanobacteriota; Cyanophyceae; Leptolyngbyales; Leptolyngbyaceae
Description: tRNA-Ser
Rfam family: tRNA
About the family: Transfer RNA (tRNA) molecules are approximately 80 nucleotides in length. Their secondary structure includes four short double-helical elements and three loops (D, anti-codon, and T loops).
Source: RNAcentral